UACGUAGGGGGCUAGCGUUGUCCGGAAUCAUUGGGCGUAAAGCGUGUGUAGGCGGACUUGUAAGUACCUUGUGAAAUCCCACGGCUCAACCGUGGAACUGCUUGGUAUACUGCUUGUCUUGAGCCACUUAGGGGCUACCGGAACAAAUGGUGGAGCGGUGAAAUGCGUAGAUAUCAUUUGGAACGCCGAUGGUGAAAACAGGUAGCUGGGAGUGUGCUGACGCUGAGACACGAAAGCCAGGGGAGCGAACGGG
Molecule: ribosomal RNA, 253 nt
Filed under: uncultured bacterium
Lineage: Bacteria
Description: partial 16S ribosomal RNA
Rfam family: Bacterial small subunit ribosomal RNA
Source: RNAcentral